Molecule: ribosomal RNA, 253 nt
Filed under: uncultured bacterium
Lineage: Bacteria
Description: partial 16S ribosomal RNA
Rfam family: Bacterial small subunit ribosomal RNA
Source: RNAcentral
UACGUAGGGACCAAGCGUUGUUCGGAUUUACUGGGCGUAAAGGGCGCGUAGGCGGCUUGACAAGUCACUUGUGAAAUCUCCGGGCUUAACUCGGAACGGCCAAGUGAAACUGUCAUGCUAGAGUGCAGAGGGGGCAAUCGGAAUUCUUGGUGUAGCGGUGAAAUGCGUAGAUAUCAAGAGGAACACCUGAGGUGAAGACGGGUUGCUGGGCUGACACUGACGCUGAGGCGCGAAAGCCAGGGGAGCAAACGGG